Molecule: long non-coding RNA, 441 nt
Organism: Mauremys reevesii (Reeves's turtle)
Lineage: Eukaryota; Metazoa; Chordata; Testudines; Geoemydidae
Exons: 3
Source: RefSeq, a predicted model, not a curated record
CAACGGGGGAGCGGCGGCAGUCGACCCCGCGCCAUGAGGACGUGAGCUACCAGUUGGAAAGCGACUGCAAGAAGAAUGGACUUUGCUUACACUGUGGAGCUGCUUUCCCGUAUCUGGAAGAUAAUGAGCUACCCUCUCAAUCCUCUCUUCUCCUGCAAAUGAGACACUCUUCCAGGAAAAGGAACCAUAGAGCUGGAUGGAUUUCAAGACCCUAACCCGAGUGUUUGAGCUUAAAGAAUUUAAAGGCCUUAACUUGGCCCUUAGAAUGGAAGACUACAUUUCCUUCCAGGAUGAGAAAGGAUCAUGUUCUGGCUGUUGCAUUACACCCUAAUGUCUCUUUGGCCUUUGCCUUAACCAAGUCACAUUGGUCACCUUAGAAGGUCUGCAGACCCUGUCAGGUCCAAGUGAUGAAUGUUAACCUUCAACUUUUCAAGAUUUUCC